RNAcentral lists this ribosomal RNA (468 nucleotides) under uncultured bacterium. RNAcentral describes it as "partial 16S ribosomal RNA". It matches the Rfam family "Bacterial small subunit ribosomal RNA", at positions 28 to 507 of the family's 1533-position model. The record is from RNAcentral.
GACGAACGCUGGCGGCGUGCUUAACACAUGCAAGUCGAACGGAAAGGCCCUGCUUUUGUGGGGUGCUCGAGUGGCGAACGGGUGAGUAACACGUGAGUAACCUGCCCUUGACUUUGGGAUAACUUCAGGAAACUGGGGCUAAUACCGGAUAGGAGCUCCUGCUGCAUGGUGGGGGUUGGAAAGUUUCGGCGGUUGGGGAUGGACUCGCGGCUUAUCAGCUUGUUGGUGGGGUAGUGGCUUACCAAGGCUUUGACGGGUAGCCGGCCUGAGAGGGUGACCGGCCACAUUGGGACUGAGGUACGGCCCAGACUCCUACGGGAGGCAGCAGUGGGGAAUAUUGCACAAUGGGCGGAAGCCUGAUGCAGCAACGCCGCGUGCGGGAUGACGGCCUUCGGGUUGUAAACCGCUUUCGCCUGUGACGAAGCGGGAGUGACGGUAAUGGGUAAAGAAGCACCGGCUAACUACGUG